This 227-nucleotide long non-coding RNA is filed under the name Elaeis guineensis (African oil palm). Its description in RNAcentral is "long non-coding RNA (EGUI_LNC078443)". Lineage: Eukaryota; Viridiplantae; Streptophyta; Magnoliopsida; Arecales; Arecaceae. The record is from RNAcentral.
CAGUGGUGUGAGUAGUCCUUUGACCUAUGAUGUCAUUGGCUAUUUGUAGUGAGGCUACUGGAUUUGACUGCACAUUCUCUUGGUCUCUAGCCAUUUGGGUCCUUACUGUGUAUGUUGGCUUCAGUAGGUUCAGAUUCGCUGUUUGGAGUAGGAUGUACUUAGAUGGGAUCUAUCGAUCUUGGUAGAAAAAGAGUAGUCCUAUACGAUUUGUGAAGAGUUCAGAAAGU